UGCAGUCGAACGGCAGCACGGGCUUCGGCCUGGUGGCGAGUGGCGAACGGGUGAGUAAUAUAUCAGGAACGUACCCAAGAGUGGGGGAUAACGUAGCGAAAGUUACGCUAAUACCGCAUACGAUCUAAGGAUGAAAGCAGGGGACCGCAAGGCCUUGUGCUCCUGGAGCGGCCGAUAUCUGAUUAGCUUGUUGGUGAGGUAAAGGCUCACCAAGGCGACGAUCAGUAGCUGGUCUGAGAGGACGACCAGCCACACUGGAACUGAGACACGGUCCAGACUCCUACGGGAGGCAGCAGUGGGGAAUUUUGGACAAUGGGCGCAAGCCUGAUCCAGCAAUGCCGCGUGAGUGAAGAAGGCCUUCGGGUUGUAAAGCUCUUUUGUCAGGGAAGAAACGGCAGUGGCUAAUAUCCAUUGCUAAUGACGGUACCUGAAGAAUAAGCACCGGCUAACUACGUGCCAGCAGCCGCGGUAAUACGUAGGGUGCAAGCGUUAAUCGGAAUUACUGGGCGUAAAGCGUGCGCAGGCGGUUUUGUAAGUCUGUCGUGAAAGCCCCGGGCUCAACCUGGGAAUUGCGAUGGAGACUGCAAGGCUUGAAUCUGGCAGAGGGGGGUAGAAUUCCACGUGUAGCAGUGAAAUGCGUAGAGAUGUGGAGGAACACCGAUGGCGAAGGCAGCCCCCUGGGUCAAGAUUGACGCUCAUGCACGAAAGCGUGGGGAGCAAACAGGAUUAGAUACCCUGGUAGUCCACGCCCUAAACGAUGUCUACUAGUUGUCGGGUUUUAAUUAACUUGGUAACGCAGCUAACGCGUGAAGUAGACCGCCUGGGGAGUACGGUCGCAAGAUUAAAACUCAAAGGAAUUGACGGGGACCCGCACAAGCGGUGGAUGAUGUGGAUUAAUUCGAUGCAACGCGAAAAACCUUACCUACCCU
RNAcentral lists this ribosomal RNA (929 nucleotides) under Massilia niabensis. RNAcentral's name for it is "bacterial SSU rRNA". It matches the Rfam family "Bacterial small subunit ribosomal RNA", at positions 56 to 981 of the family's 1533-position model. Lineage: Bacteria; Pseudomonadati; Pseudomonadota; Betaproteobacteria; Burkholderiales; Oxalobacteraceae. The record is from RNAcentral.